RNAcentral lists this unclassified non-coding RNA (221 nucleotides) under Hevea brasiliensis (rubber tree). The record is from RNAcentral. Lineage: Eukaryota; Viridiplantae; Streptophyta; Magnoliopsida; Malpighiales; Euphorbiaceae.
AAUUCCAUCAGCAAUAUGCACCUGCAAUUUCACAUGAGAAUGUAAACAAAAUACAAGUAGGAAGGAUUUCAGAACUCUAGAUAAUGCCAUCUGGGCAUCGCCUUCUAUAGUUUUGGCUAAAACUAAGACAUCCACAAAAUGCUGUUCUGGUCUCUUGGGUAUCAAGAAGAUCAACAAUCACGUAUUGUCACAUUUCUUCACUACUAGACUUAAGAGUACUA